CCAAGCGCAGCUGCUGUCAGCACAGCUGUCCUCUUGCAGGGGAACAGGGCUGCUUGUUCCAGUGGCUGCAUGGGAAGUGUCCUGGGCCAGGCUGCCCCCCAGGAAGCAGAAGCAGCGAACUCUCCCUGCUCUUUGGCUAAGUGACUCACGCCCUGUUCAACAUGUCAUUCCAUGUCAGCUACCUUCCAGAGAGGUGGCUUCUGUUGACCUUGGUAUAAUAAUGCUCCGGGGCACCGUCUGCAGCGUGCACGCAUGGCUUCGUCAUUAGCAGAGGAGUCACUCACUGUCAGGAGUUUGCAAGCCAAACCCAUCCUGCGGUGAAUCAGGAUGAGUUAAAUGCUCUCUAGCAAGCAUGGAGCUCACCCAAGAGAGAGGGGGAGUUCAGCAUCCUAAGGCCCCAAGAGUACCAGCUAAUGAACCAGGCAAGCCAAUUUCCUAAACAAUAUUCUGGUGCCCUGUAGGUCCCA
Long non-coding RNA from Lemur catta (Ring-tailed lemur), 467 nucleotides. RefSeq lists it as uncharacterized. Lineage: Eukaryota; Metazoa; Chordata; Mammalia; Primates; Lemuridae. The record is from RefSeq and is a predicted model, not a curated record. The transcript is spliced from 3 exons.